GGACGUUCUUUUUAGAGUCCGACCCUUUCAUUUUCUUACACUGUGCACACACUUCUUUUUUACACACACUUUUAACACCUUAGUAUAAGAAUGUAAUAGUCUCUUAAUUGAGCAUAAAUAAAAACAAAACUUUCAGCAACGGAUCUCUUGGCUCUCGCAUCGAUGAAGAACGCAGCGAAUUGCGAUAAGUAAUGUGAAUUGCAGAAUUCAGUGAAUCAUCGAAUCUUUGAACGCACCUUGCACUCUUUGGUAUUCCGAAGAGUAUGUCUGUUUGAGUGUCAUGAAACUCUCAACCCCCCUAUUUUGUAAUGAGAUGGGUGUGGGCUUGGAUUAUGGUUGUCUGUCGGCGUAAUUGCCGGCUCAACUGAAAUACACGAGCAACCCUAUUGAAAUAAACGGUUUGACUUGGCGUAAUAAUUAUUUCGCUAAGGACGUUUUCUUCAAAUAUAAGAGGUGCUUCUAAUUCGCUUCUAAUAGCAUUUAAGCUUUAGACCUCAAAUCAGUCAGGACUACCCGCUGAACUUAAGCAUAUCAAUAAGCGGAGGAAAAGAAAAAAAA
Molecule: ribosomal RNA, 558 nt
Filed under: Cystobasidium slooffiae
Lineage: Eukaryota; Fungi; Basidiomycota; Cystobasidiomycetes; Cystobasidiales; Cystobasidiaceae
Description: eukaryotic LSU rRNA
Rfam family: 5.8S ribosomal RNA (bases 128-281)
Source: RNAcentral